RNAcentral lists this ribosomal RNA (497 nucleotides) under uncultured bacterium. Its description in RNAcentral is "partial 16S ribosomal RNA". It matches the Rfam family "Bacterial small subunit ribosomal RNA", at positions 28 to 507 of the family's 1533-position model. The record is from RNAcentral.
GAUGAACGCUGGCGGCGUGCCUAAUACAUGCAAGUCGAACGCAUAGCGAAAGGUGCUUGCACCUUUCAAGUGAGUGGCGAACGGGUGAGUAACACGUGGACAACCUGCCUCAAGGCUGGGGAUAACAUUUGGAAACAGAUGCUAAUACCGAAUAAAACUUAGUGUCGCAUGACACAAAGUUAAAAGGCGCUUCGGCGUCACCUAGAGAUGGAUCCGCGGUGCAUUAGUUAGUUGGUGGGGUAAAGGCCUACCAAGACAAUGAUGCAUAGCCGAGUUGAGAGACUGAUCGGCCACAUUGGGACUGAGACACGGCCCAAACUCCUACGGGAGGCUGCAGUAGGGAAUCUUCCACAAUGGGCGAAAGCCUGAUGGAGCAACGCCGCGUGUGUGAUGAAGGCUUUCGGGUCGUAAAGCACUGUUGUAUGGGAAGAACAGCUAGAAUAGGAAAUGAUUUUAGCUUGACGGUACCAUACCAGAAAGGGACGGCUAAAUACGUG